UACGGGGGGGGCAAGCGUUGUUCGGGAUUACUGGGCGUAAAGGGCUCGUAGGCGGCCAACUAAGUCGGAUGUGAAAUCCCCAGGCUUAACCUGGGAACUGCAUCCGAUACUGGAUGGCUUGAAUCCGGGAGAGGGAUGCAGAAUUCCAGGUGUAGCGGUGAAAUGCGUAGAUAUCUGGAGGAAUACCGGUGGCGAAGGCGGCAUCCUGGACCGGCAUUGACGCUGAGGAGCGAAAGCUAGGGGAGCAAACGGG
Molecule: ribosomal RNA, 253 nt
Filed under: uncultured bacterium
Lineage: Bacteria
Description: partial 16S ribosomal RNA
Rfam family: Bacterial small subunit ribosomal RNA
Source: RNAcentral